UGAGGAAUAUUGGUCAAUGGGCGCAAGCCUGAACCAGCCAUGCCGCGUGUGUGAAGAAGGCCUUUUGGUUGUAAAGCACUUUAAGCGAGGAGGAGGCUACACUAGUUAAUACCUGGGGAUAGUGGACGUUACUCGCAGAAUAAGCACCGGCUAACUCUGUGCCAGCAGCCGCGGUAAUACAGAGGGUGCGAGCGUUAAUCGGAUUUACUGGGCGUAAAGCGUGCGUAGGCGGCUUUUUAAGUCGGAUGUGAAAUCCCUGAGCUUAACUUAGGAAUUGCAUUCGAUACUGGGAAGCUAGAGUAUGGGAGAGGAUGGUAGAAUUCCAGGUGUAGCGGUGAAAUGCGUAGAGGUCUGGAGGAAUACCGAUGGCGAAGGCAGCCAUCUGGCCUAAUACUGACGCUGAGGUACGAAAGCAUGGGGAGCAAACAG
This 429-nucleotide ribosomal RNA is filed under the name uncultured bacterium. RNAcentral describes it as "bacterial SSU rRNA". It matches the Rfam family "Bacterial small subunit ribosomal RNA", at positions 355 to 775 of the family's 1533-position model. The record is from RNAcentral.